GAGAGAAACCCGACUGGUAACGGUAACUGCUAAUUUUCGCCUUCUUGGUUUGACCCCAGGAUUCACUCG
Molecule: transfer RNA, 69 nt
Filed under: Aphyosemion gabunense (Gabon killifish)
Lineage: Eukaryota; Metazoa; Chordata; Actinopteri; Cyprinodontiformes; Nothobranchiidae
Description: tRNA-Ser
Source: RNAcentral